RNAcentral lists this long non-coding RNA (4623 nucleotides) under Homo sapiens (human). RNAcentral's name for it is "HSALNT0376985". The record is from RNAcentral. Lineage: Eukaryota; Metazoa; Chordata; Mammalia; Primates; Hominidae.
CCCGUGAAAUGAGCGGAACAAGGGAAUAACAGUGCAAAGGCAGCUUGAAGUAAGACCAGAAUGUUUUGCUUUGUUUUUACUAUUCCCAGGAAGAUACACUAAGAGGUUGGGACAAAAAUUGGGAUGAAGCGUAAAGCAAGUGUGUCCAUCCAAGGAACCAAACCACACAAUGCGCACCACCGAGCGGCCUGUUGCACUGCCGCUUUGAUUCGGUUACUAGCAUUUCACCGUUUCCUAUGUCAACAGCAUAACGGAUAACCACUUGUUUAAGCAACCAUUAAAAAAAGAGGAGUGUGUCUUAUACAGAAUUGUGUUUGUGGAUACAACAUGAAAACCAUUGCACAUCACUGUUCUGUCCUUAAGCUGAGCCUUGUAAGAAAAUGUUGAUAUUUUGUUUAGCCGUUUAUCUUUACAUGUUGUUAACCACGUAGUAUCCAUCCAGAAAGACUUGUUCCUGGCAAAGUGUAUUGGUAAGUGGCCAGUUUCAGACUGGAGCUGACAGUAAUGGUUUCCUACCACAUAUUGUCAUAAUUGCAGAGUCGUGAAAAUGGGCUGAUAUUUAACACAAAACAAAACAAAACAAAAUCCAGUUUGGCAGACAACAUAGGUAAUUGUGUUCUGUAAGAAGUCACAUUCACUUGGGGAAGGGAGGCCAACUGGGAAGUGAAGGGUCUGAUCUGCCUAGGGAACUGGCAAGAAAGACAGUCAUAACGUGGGAGGAAGCAAAGAUUGCCUGCUGAAGAGCCUAUCUUGCUACAGCCUGCUUACUCUCCAUGAAUAUUUUUUGCCAACUUUGAUGAUUCUGGCCUGGGGAUUGGAAUGCGGAGUUGGGGGGGGUGGUUCCCACUAGAACAAGCAUAAUUUACUGGAUCGCUUGCAAAGUUUACAGGCCGGUUUUCACAUGUCAGCAGGCACUACUUCAAUCCCUAAACUUCUCAUGGCAUGGAUUCCUAGGAAAGAGGAUCUUAACUCCUACAGUUUUUCUUUCAAGCUGUAAACUCUGCAGGUCAGUAACAACUUAUUACCAAUCUUUGCCAUCCAUCUCUGACUAUUCCCCUACUCCAACAUUCCCCCAUCUCACCCCAAGCAAUGGGGAAACAUCAAACUUAAAUCAGAAGUAUUUCUUAAUAGGAAAACACUAUGAUUUAUAGCAUAAUUCUGCACUGCAGUUUUACUAUUAAAUAAGGGAUUUUAGAUUCACUGAAUUUGCACAGUGCUUAUUUUCCGAAUAUUUUUAUACCUUUUUAAUUUUCAUAAGGCCCCUCACAACAAAAACCUACUAUUUAACCUUUCCUAUAUAUUUGUCUCUAGCUUUUCUUUGGAUGGGUACCUGGUGGCAGGCCGGCCCCUGGUUUUUGUGAAUACGAGAGCAAGAGUGCAGUUGAAGAUCCUCCCCCAGGCCCCUGCCCCCUUGUCUUCCUAACCCCUGACUCAGUCUUGCACCACAAGGAGUCUUGCACAGAAAUAUGUGGAGAGUAUAGUUCAAUAUGUGGACAGUAUAGUUCAAUAUGUGGACACUAUAGUUGUUGAUAACCAAGCUCUCUCCCCAAAGCCACCUUGGUCCUGGGAAUAUGCAUCUCAAACAUGCAAAUGACCCUUGAUUGGAUGGACCUAGGGAAGAUGCCUGAUCAAGCCCUGGAAGCGAGUUAUGGGACCAACAUUUGAGCAGGAAAUUUCAUGAUCUCAGGCCUUCAGACCAGGACUGGAAUCUACACCACUGGCUCUUCAGCUCCCAGACUUUCAAACUUUGUCACCAGCUUUACUGGGUCUCCAGCUUGUACAUGACAGAUUGUGGGACUUCUCAGCCUCCACAAUUGCAUGAGUUGAUACUUUAUAAUAAAUAUCUUUAUGUAUAUCCAUCCUACUGGCUGUUUCUCUGGCAAACCCUGACUAAUAUACACUUCUUAAAGUCUAAAGUUCAUAGUGUUCAUUUAUGUAUCCAUGAAUUCAAAGGACUGUGGAAGGUGGGUUACUUCCUUUAGGUCAUUCUUCAAGAGAAAGCAAAGAUAAACAUGAAGGAAAGGAGAAUUGCUUGGGCAAAAAGCUAACAUUAAUUCUUGUUCAUAGUUUUAUUGAUGUUACUUUCCUCGUUCAAAAGACGAGUUUAAAUUUAUAUUUUAUGAUUCCUAUGCAUGCAUAAAUACAUUUUUUUUUCAAAUUGAGUCCUAAGAACACCAUCUGUGUCCUGUGGUAUUUGAGACAAGGUCUACACUUCACGGCAGGAAGCAGAAGCCACCAAGAAAAGAGACAGGGUUUAUUGGAAGUACACAGUGAUAGUUCACUGCCCACUGGGGGUCUAUUUUUUUUCUUACUAAGAAGUUCAAAGGUUGUAGGCUGGUUGAACUUCCAGGAGCCAGGCUGCUUCUUCCUCUAGCCCUGUGAUUCCUAGUAAUGCUGGCUUUGUGUCUCCAUGCUCUCCCCAUGUAGCUAGCAGCUGCUGCCUGUAUCAGUCAGGAUUCAACCAGAGAAACAGAGCCACUACGAGUGAUUAAGAAAACAUGGAAUUUAUUAUUAGGCACUAGGCCUCCCUUGACCAAUAUUGUAGCCAUUAGCCACAUCUGGCUAUUUAAAUUUAAAUUAAUUAACAUUAAAUAAGAGUAACAACUUAGCUCCUCUACAGCACUGGGCACAUUUCAAAUGCUCAAUAGCCACGUGUGACUUGUGGGUAUCAUAUUGGGCAGCUCAGGUGCCCAAUAAAACACUUCCAUCAUCACAGAAAGUUCUACUGGACAGUGCUGCCCUAGACCUUGCAGGAUGUGAGACCUGGUGGAGGAGUCCUGGCAUGGCUGUUUGUUGUCUUCGGUUCUAGUGUUGAGUCUGAAGUCACUAUAGGUCAGUCAGGAUUUCAGUCAGGGCAGAAAGUUGGAUGUGGAUGAUAGCAAGAACAGACUGGAAUCUGUGAGAACAAACUGAAAUUCAUGAAUGACUGAAGUCCUUUAGGACAGACCGGAUCUGCCUGUGUCUCUCACUGUCUCCAGCCUCAAUAAUACAGGUGUCCUGCAAAACAUGCUGGCACCCUUUACCGAGCUACAGAUGCACUUGGCUUAGGACUUGAAGAAGCCAUAGGAGGAGAUCUGGUGGGAGCAGGAGGAACUGUGAGUCUUGCUGCCCCAUGCCAGCAAGGUGAGGCAGCAGGUCAGCGACAAUGCGUGAGAACUGCCAAUGUUCCUCACGCCUUGUGUUGUCCUUCACAGCAUAAAAACCAUGGCUGCUGCUUGGUUGCUGCCUCCCAGAUCUCAUGCAAUAUUUCCCUUGUGGCCAAUGCUAACCUGGAACUAUGGGAGGAUUCUGCGUAACAGAUGCUGCUUAGCUGGACCAACACAAUACGAAGCCAACUACUGUCCCACGGGUCUAGGCAUCAAGUCUACAUGGAAGCCAGGGGCAAAGGAGAGACAGUGCUGGUGAGCUUGCUCUCUCUUGUGCCUGUUUCUUCCAUCAGGAAAGCAAAAGGCUUUCUAGAAGCAUCCAGAUAGACUUCCCUCUGUCUUUUUAGCCAGAAUUUGGUCAUAUUGUCAUCCCUUAACUCCAAAAAAGGCCUACAGAGGGGAUGUUGGGUUUUUCCAGCCUCUUCUAGAAUAGAAGCAGGGAAGGGAGAGGGGCUGGGAAUGGCUAUUGAGUUAGUCACCCAAAGAUGCCUACUGCAGAUCUGCAUGGUGCAUUCCCCAUCACUCCCCUACUGAUAGCUAGAGAAGAAGCUCAAGAACGCCUAUUCCAAAUCCUUCAUUUGCAUGUGAAGAAAUGGAGGCAUUGAAAGGUUAAGUGGCUUACUCAAGGACACACAGAGUUAGUGCAAUAUAUCUGGGAGUAUGGUAGCAAACCAUCUUAUUUAUUCUCCAGGCCACUAUAUAUUGCACAUACUGUCCAUUAAAAGCCAGAAAGAAGUACAUGGCAAGAUGCUCAUCCUCAGCACUAGAACCAAAUCACUCAGAAAAAUUUGAGUCUUACUUUUUGUCUGAUGGUAAAGAUUGGUAAAGUUUGGAAAGAUUACGCACACCCAGUAUAAUCAGACAUAGAGAAAUGGGUCCGUUGUUGGUGACAGUAUGAGUGCAAUAUUUAUAUGCAUAAGGAUUUGCAUAGAACAGCAUCUAUAAGGAUGUUCAACAAAAUAUUAAUAGUAAUUAAGUAGUACUUUCUUCUUUAUACCUGUCUGUUUUGGUUGAUUUUUCUGUAAGUAUGUAUUACCUUUAUAUUAGAAUGCAAGGAAGCUGAUUUUUGAUUAGAAAAAACAUUAUCAUCAUUGGAGGACAUAGUCUUCCUACUUAGUAGAAGGCGGGGACUUAGAUGUUAAUGAUUUAAAUUCUCUUCCAGUUCUACUCUUUAAUGAGUGGGCAGGUCAUGCCAGCUGUUUGAAGCCAAUCAAGAGGAUUGGAGAUACUAUUCUUAUGCUUUUCACAAGGGUUUUACAACUGUCAUGCUUACUUGAAGAUUGGAAACCAUUACAUAUGAUGUGUCGUUUCUAUCAAAAUAAUACCUUCCUUCACCUCAAGCAACUACUUCGACAUUAGAUUAUUGUCAUCCCCGAAUGUCAUUGCUUAAUCCAGUUCUGACACUAGCAUUGCCAGGAAGUUCCUUUUUCCUAAAGGUGGUAACUAGUCCACCAAAAUGUCAAAAAAAAAAAAAAAA